Molecule: long non-coding RNA, 544 nt
Organism: Pyrgilauda ruficollis (rufous-necked snowfinch)
Lineage: Eukaryota; Metazoa; Chordata; Aves; Passeriformes; Passeridae
Exons: 5
Source: RefSeq, a predicted model, not a curated record
CACGAGGCUGCUGAUCUCCUCGAAGGUGCCGUUGGAAUAUUUGCGGCUGUUGGCAACGAUGGUCCUGGGAGCAGGGACAGGGAGAGCCAGCAGGAGGUACCUACAUGGUUCUGAAGUUCUCCUUUCCCAGGAUCUUGUACUCCUGGCAGACUUUCUCCCGGACAUAAGCUUUCCCUGAAAGUGCAGGAGAAGGAGGAAUUGAGGAUUUGGUGGUCCCUGGGGAGAUGUUGGCACAGCCGGUCUGGGAGAAGCAUCCCUGCUAUCCAGGCUGCUGCUCCAGCCCCGCAGCCAGGGAAAGGAGCAGGGAGAAAACCCUCCCUGGAGCUGGGAGAGCUACAGGUGGGGAUUCCCUGUGGAGCUGAGGAAGCAGCUAAGGGCGGCAGAGCAUUGUUCCCACCAGGGGGGCCAGCAAAGCCCCAGGAUCAUCUCCCUUACCUCGGUGUAACGCCUGUGCAGCGGCCAGGAGCGGCAGCAGCGCCAGAGCCACCCUCAUGAUGGAGCUGGCUCUCCUCCUCCUGCCGGGAAUCCCAUCCCCGAGUUUUUA